This 246-nucleotide ribosomal RNA is filed under the name uncultured bacterium. RNAcentral's name for it is "partial 16S ribosomal RNA". It matches the Rfam family "Bacterial small subunit ribosomal RNA", at positions 527 to 772 of the family's 1533-position model. The record is from RNAcentral.
GUAGGGUGCAAGCGUUAAUCGGAAUUACUGGGCGUAAAGCGUGCGCAGGCGGUUUUGUAAGACAGGCGUGAAAUCCCCGGGCGCCACCUGGGAAUUGCGCUUGUGACUGCAAGGCUGGAGUGCGGCAGAGGGGGAUGGAAUUCCGCGUGUAGCAGUGAAAUGCGUAGAUAUGCGGAGGAACACCGAUGGCGAAGGCAAUCCCCUGGGCCUGCACUGACGCUCAUGCACGAAAGCGUGGGGAGCAAA